GAUGAACGCUGGCGGCGUGCCUAAUACAUGCAAGUCGAGCGAACAGAUAAGGAGCUUGCUCCUUUGACGUUAGCGGCGGACGGGUGAGUAACACGUGGGUAACCUACCUAUAAGACUGGAAUAACUCCGGGAAACCGGGGCUAAUGCCGGAUAACAUUUAGAACCGCAUGGUUCUAAAGUGAAAGAUGGUUUUGCUAUCAAUUAUAGAUGGACCCGCGCCGUAUUAGCUAGUUGGUAAGGUAAUGGCUUACCAAGGCAACGAUACGUAGCCGACCUGGGAGGGUGAUCGGCCACACUGGAACGGAGACACGGUCCAGACUCCUACGGGAGGCAGCAGUAGGGAAUCUUCCGCAAUGGGCGAAAGCCUGACGGAGCAACGCCGCGUGAGUGAUGAAGGGUUUCGGCUCGUAAAACUCUGUUAUUAGGGAAGAACAAACGUGUAAGUAACUGUGCACGUCUUGACGGUACCUAAUCAGAAAGCCACGGCUAACUACGUGCCAGCAGCCGCAGUAA
Molecule: ribosomal RNA, 513 nt
Filed under: uncultured bacterium
Lineage: Bacteria
Description: partial 16S ribosomal RNA
Rfam family: Bacterial small subunit ribosomal RNA
Source: RNAcentral